UAUUUAUUAGAUAACAAGCCAAUAUUCCUCUGGUCUAUUGUGGUGACUCAUAAUAACUGAUCGAAUCGCAAGGCCUAUGGCCGCGAUAAGUCAUUCAAGUUUCUGCCCCAUCAGCUUUCGAUGGUAGUGUAUUGGACUACCAUGGCGUUUACGGGUAACGGAGGACUAGGGUUCGAUUCCGGAGAGGGAGCCUGAGAAACGGCUACCACAUCUAAGGAAGGCAGCAGGCGCGUGAAUUACCCAAUCCUGACUCAGGGAGGUAGUGACAAGAAAUAACGGACCGAGGCCUUCGGGCUUCGGGAUUGCAAUGAGCCGAAUUUACACCCCUUAGCGAGGAUCGAUUGGAGGGCAAGUCUGGUGCCAGCAGCCGCGGUAAUUCCAGCUCCAAUAGCGUAUAUUAAGGUUGUUGCAGUUAAAAAGCUCGUAGUUGGAUUUCUGGGAGGGUGCCAAUGUCCGCCGACGUGCGUGCGCAGCGGCGCCCUUCCAUCCUUCUGUUAACGCCUCUUGGCAUUCAUUUGCUGGUGGCGGGCUCAGAUAUUUUACCUUGAGAAAAUUAGAGUGUUUCAGGCAGGCUAG
Molecule: ribosomal RNA, 576 nt
Filed under: uncultured eukaryote
Lineage: Eukaryota
Description: SSU rRNA
Rfam family: Eukaryotic small subunit ribosomal RNA
Source: RNAcentral